Molecule: ribosomal RNA, 351 nt
Filed under: uncultured bacterium
Lineage: Bacteria
Description: bacterial SSU rRNA
Rfam family: Bacterial small subunit ribosomal RNA
Source: RNAcentral
AUUGAACGCUGGCGGCGUGCUUAACACAUGCAAGUCGAUCGGUAACAGGUGUAGCAAUACAUGCUGACGAGAGGCGGACGGGUGAGUAAUGCUUGGGAAUCUGCCUAUUAGUGGGGGACAACCCGGGGAAACUCGGGCUAAUACCGCAUACGCUCUACGGAGGAAAGCCGGGGACCGCAAGGCCUGGCGCUAAUAGAUGAGCCCAAGUCGGAUUAGCUAGUUGGUAGGUAACGGCCUACCAAGGCGACAAUCCGUAGCUGGUCUGAGAGGACGACCAGCCACACCGGAACUGAGACACGGUCCGGACUCCUACGGGAGGCAGCAGUGGGGAAUAUUGGACAAUGGGGGCAA